Molecule: RNA transcript, 5062 nt
Organism: Galleria mellonella (greater wax moth)
Lineage: Eukaryota; Metazoa; Arthropoda; Insecta; Lepidoptera; Pyralidae
Gene name: zinc finger protein 91-like
Exons: 4
Source: RefSeq, a predicted model, not a curated record
UGUGGUUACGUGAUUUGUGGUCUGUUUGUGAUCUGUGGUGCUCUUCUCUUUGUAUUUUCCUUUUGAUACUUUUGAACCACAUUCUUGUGGUUUUUAAUUAAAAUAUUUAUUUUUCCUAUAAUAUGGAAUAGUAACAUAUUAGAGAUAUAAACGUAGAUUACACCCUAGUUUAAUCGUCAUUCAUCAUUAGCAAUAAUAUCUCCAAUUUUUCAUAUUUUUGUUUUAAGCAAUUAUGUCAGAUGAAAUUGAUAUUGAAGAACAUGAUAUACUGGAUAAUCCAGUAAUUAAAAAUAUCUUUCCUGAUCUGUCUGUAUUAAAAAAAGAAAUUCUGGAUUAUGAUGAAGUUCCAGAUUUAGUCACAGACAUAACUUUAGAAACAACUUCAGUAGAUGUGAAGAAAACAAGUGAUAAUCCAAAUGUCAAUGAGUCAGAAAAAGUGACAAAUAAUCGAUUGAACAAUAUUCAAAUAAAUACAAGACAUGAUUUUAAAAUUGCUGAAGACCUCAAACAAGAACAAGAUAAUAAAUUACCAGUAAGCAAAAAAUUGAAACAGUUAGAAAAACAUACUAACAAAGUAUGUUCAGAAUCCCAUAUGAGUAAAAAUAUGCUCAGUACUGUAAAUUGUUCAAUUAAUUUUCAAAAGGAAAGUAAACCAUUACAAAAUCUUACAUAUUUUAAAUCUAACCAGUCACAUAGUAAUAAAAUUAUAUUGGGUUCCAAACCUAGUAUAAUCAAUAAGCAGAAAGAUCACUUAAAAAAUUUUGGAAAAAAUCUAACUAACGUCUGUGUAUUAGUAACUGAUUGUGCGUCUUCUUUGCACAAUAGUGAUAGAUAUUGUUCAGAUUGUUUAACAUUAUUCAGUACAUACAUUGAACUAGAAGCUCAUAAAAAAACUGACCAUCAUAAUUUUUCUAAAAUACAAAACAAAAUUAAGAAAGAAGUGACUAAAAGUGUUAAAGAUCAUAUUUGUUUAAUUUGUAAUAUUUCUUUUUCCACAAAAAAUACUUUGAAUAGACAUCAAACAGACUUUCAUAAUCUAAAAAAUAAUGUUACAAUAUCAAACUCUAGUACUGUAAUAUCACGAAAAUAUAGUAAACCUAAUAAUUACAGUUCUAGAAUACCUUUGUCGGACAUAAAGUAUGGAUGUUUUCACUGCAGUAAGUCUUUCCUUGACCAAAAAUCUCUAAUUGAACACCUUUAUAAUGUUCUUCAAAUGAAGAAUUCUAAAACACAUAGUGAGGAAAAGCUGCAGGAGAACAUUAGUAAUGAUAUGGAAAUAUUAGAAAAACAUACUGAUGAAAAUUAUAAAGAACAGGACUCUGUAAUUAAUAAUAAUAAAUGUACAAAAAUAAAAUUUGCAGUAUCUAAUAAAAAACAAGAAAUGGAUGUGAAUUUAAGACAAAAAUAUGUAAAAUAUAAAAAUAAUGAAAAAUUAAAUAAAGUCAAUAUUUCAGUGAAAGUUAACAAUCCACUAAUCAGUAGUAAAUUAGUAAGUCUGACUAUACAAGACAAAAAUGAUGAAGUUUUAGUAAAUAAUAGUGACUGUAAUAAAAAACUUGACACUUCAUCAACAGAUAUCCAUGAUUGUAAGAAACGUAAAUUACCAAUACUAGGUAAAAAGUGCAAAGUUAACUGUAAAAAACCUAAAUUAACACUACCAGAUAAAAAGUGCAAAAAAGUGAUUACUAAACAUAUACAAAAAACUUCAUUGUCUUACAAUAUGCAUCAAGUUAAAAAGGCGAGUGAAAUUACUAAUAGGACAAAACUAUUUUAUGAAUGUAAGUUUUGCUCUCAUUACUUCAAUAAAUUAAAAUAUUACAAAUUGCACCUACAGAAUAAACACAAGGUUAAAAACAUACUGAAAACGGACAAAGUAGCAUAUAGUCCUAAAUGUAAAUACUGCCCUAAGAUAUCUAAAGAAAUGAUUUUAUAUAAUGUUCAUCUGCGAAAAUAUCACAAAGAAAAAAUACAUGUAGUUAUUAAAGACAUAGAAAUAAACUCUAAAGUUGAAAAGAAAUCUGAGAGAACCCAACAAAAUUCUUCAAUUAUAUCUAAGUGUACAACGGAAGAAAAAUGUAGCAGUAGUAACAGUAACAUAUCAAUAUUAGAACUCCUGAUUUUGAAAUCUGUAUUAUACAAAUGUAGUAAAUGUGACAUACAUUUCUUAUGUUUAGAAACAGCAUUAAGUCAUGUUGAUCAUAUGGAAAUUUCGAUUAAUUGGAAAUGUACCAUUUGUUUGAAAAUAUUUAAAAAAAGUGAUGAAGCUCUUCAUAAAAAACAACACCUGCAUGUGAACACUUUUUCUGUAUAUAAUACAUCUGAUAUAGAUGUUGCUUUAAUCUUGUAUAAAUGUACAAAAUGCACUAUACAUUAUGAUGAAAAACAUUUCCGACGUCAUUAUUCGGAUUGUGAAUUAAAAUCACCAAAUGCGAGUUAUUGUAUUGUUUGCGAUAUUUUAAUAGACAAUAAUAUCAUGAAGUCUCAUGAGUAUGAUCACAAGCACAAAAAUUAUGAUCUGAAUAAUUUCACUAUUAUUGAAUGUGAUCUUUUAUGUGAGGAAGCGAAUGGUGCUUUCAAAGAAUAUGAAUCAAACAAGAAGAUAAAUAUUAAACUAUCAAAGAAAAGUCGAAUAAUGACACACAUAACCGAUAGAAUGUUACUCGUAAAAUCUUUCUGUAAUACUUGUAAAUGUUUUGUCAGUGAUGUUGGAUGGCUACGCGAAGUACACCUUCAAUCACGCUGUCAACAUCUAACAAAACGGAUAUGUAUUUACUGUGGACUUCUUUUAACUAGUAAAACUUUAGCCACUCAUAAAAAUAUGCAUAGACGAAAUCCAAAAAUAACUUUACAGGAUUUCAGAUUUUAUGAGCUUAAUAGUAGAAAAUUAAUUAAACCUCCGAUACCAGAAUAUCCUAAAUGUGAAAUUUGUGACAUACAUUUCAUGUCUAAAUUAGCCAUUAAGAAUCAUUUGUGCAGUGAAAAUGAAUUUUUGACGUGUACCGUUUGUUCUAUAAAAUUAUCAAAAUCGAUUUUUAAAUUGCAUAUGGCUUUUCAUAAUUAUUUAUUAAAUAAUAAAUCAAAAUUUUUAAAUCAUAAAUCAGCCAAAUUACCAGUCUCGGAAAGAAUUGAUUCUAAUACAAAUUUACCGAAUAUAAAUAAUAAUUUACCGCAACCAUGUAAGUUGGAAAAAUUUAUAGCUUUGUACCGUUGCAAGAGGUGUUCUACAACUUUUAUUAUGUAUGAUAAAGUGAUAGAUCAUUGUCAUCUACAUUAUAAUAAUCGAGAACACGAGAUUAAAACAGUGAGAUGCAAUGAUUGCGAAUUAAGUUUUGAAAUAGGGUGUUACGAGAGCCAUAAGAUAUUACAUGAUCGAAAAAAUACUUCUUACAAACGUCCACUUGAGUUUGAUAUUUUUUAUUUUCAAUUUGACAAUGAUAUUUGGACAAAACAUAUAUUUGGACCUCUUUCGCAAAAUCAAGUAAAAAAAAUUCUUAGACAAUCGAUAUACAGAUUUGAGCACCGACUUAUAAUGAAUAUUGUUCAAGAGGGAUCAUCUGACAUUACAUUAUAUAAAUGUAAUAAAUGCAGUUGUAUCAUAGAGCCUGAACUAAUAUUUAAACACAUUCAGAUUAAUUGUUUAGAUGUGCGAAAAUAUUGUUGUAUUUUUUGUGGCUUGAGUUUUAUUUCUCUUGUUUUUAAAAGAAAUCAUGAAAAAAUUCAUAGUCAUCCGUCUAUUAUCUUAAAAUCCUUUAGGGUAGUCUUGUUUAAUCAAACUCAACACAGAACGUAUAAUUCUACGUUUAAUGUAUCAUAUCAGUAUUAUAUUUUGUAUCAGUGCAGAAUUUGUAAUAUCACAAUACAAAAAUUUCAAAGAAGUAAUCAUAAAUGCAAUAAAAACGAAUUAAUGAGUUGUACUGAAUGUGGAUUAUUAUUUGACCAAAAUGAAUACGAAUCACAUAUAACUAAACACAAGGAUGUUGAUAGUUUCAUUUCAGAAAAUAUUAAAGUUAUACUUUUUGGAGAGGUAUCCGAAGAUGUUAAAAAAAAUUAUAGCAAAAAAUUACUAUCAUUUCGUGGUGCUGUUUAUGAUUACACUUUUUAUAAGUGUUCAAGUUGUGAUAUCUGUUUGAGAAAUAUUAAAUCUACGUUACUUCAUAUUUGUGCUCCUACUAAUUAUAAAAUCAAGUGCUCCAAAUGUGGAUUGCACUUUCAUUGUAAUUGGUACAAAGCACAUAAUCAAUCUCAUAUUGUUGAUCCAGGUUUUGAAAUAGAAAAUAUGAAUAUUAUUUCAUUUGAUGCAAAAAUUUCGGUAUCGAUUAACCCAAAAAAUAAUAACUUAAGUAAUUCGGAUUCUCCUUUAAAGCAGUUAACAUUAAAUUGCACAGAAUCGACACGAGACACCAUAGUACAUAUAGAAAAGUCAAAUCAAAUUGUAACUACUGGAAAGGAAACAGAGGAAUUUGAAGCAAGAAUAAAUGAUGUGGGAACACAUUCAUCGGUAAAAUUUUUUAAAUGUACCGAAUGUGGCCUUAAUUUUCUGGAUGAACCUAGUAUCAAAAUCCACUUUAAUCAUUGUGGACCUAAAAGUAAAUUAUCGAAACAAAAUUGUACUAAAUGCAAUUUAUUGUUUACUCCAAAUAUUCUUUUUACACAUUUGUUAACUCAUCACGGACAAAAAAAUAAUGUUUUUAAAUAUGAAAUAAUAGAGGUAACUAAGACUAUGAAAUAGGCUAUUUGACUGGUUUCUGGGAACUAUCUUAGAAUAUUUAGUGGUGUUCAUAGAGUCCCAAUAAAUAAUAGAGUCCUUCAAAAAAAUAGCAAAUAAAAAAGUACAAUUACAAAUUGGCCGCCGAAACGCAAUUUUGAGCAAUAUGGCAGCAGUGAUAUCACAUGGAAGUAAACAACAUCGAGUGUCAUACACAUGGAGAAAGACAUAGCAAACUACCUUCAGUACAAAAUGGGAUUCAGCCAGAAAUUAUUCUUGGUGGAUGGAAUUGUGCCUUCUAAAUUUCACUGUCAACAAGAUCGCAGGAAAAGAAUGUGUGAUACUAGUACUUCUCGA